UACGUAGGUGGCAAGCGUUGUCCGGAUUUAUUGGGCGUAAAGGGCGCGUAGGCGGUCCAUUAAGUUCGGGGUGAAAUCUCCCGGCUUAACUGGGAGCGGUCCCCGGAUACUGAUGGACUAGAGGGGGGUAGAGGAAGGCGGAAUUCCCGGAGUAGCGGUGAAAUGCGUAGAUACCGGGAGGAACACCGGUGGCGAAGGCGGCCUUCUGGGCCUACCCUGACGCUGAGGCGCGAAAGCGUGGGGAGCAAACCGGAUUAGAUACCCCCGUA
RNAcentral lists this ribosomal RNA (269 nucleotides) under uncultured prokaryote. Its description in RNAcentral is "partial 16S ribosomal RNA". It matches the Rfam family "Bacterial small subunit ribosomal RNA", at positions 524 to 792 of the family's 1533-position model. The record is from RNAcentral.